AUGUUUGAUCAUGUGCCUAAAGCUAAUGGAGUUUAUAUGACAGUUAGCCUUACAUUUGAGUUUAUUACCUGAUCAUAAGUUGAGGACACUUUUUCAGCAACCUCUGAAUCACCUUCGAGAUUUAAAGGAAUUCAAUUCACUUCUAUCAUCUGGCAAUGGGAGGAAUGACUAAAACAGAGGUACACCAAAUUGUGUUACAAUUCCAUAGACUAAGUUACAUUUGUAGAUGCUUCUCACAACAAUAGUCACUAAGUCAAAUGUGACUAA
This 267-nucleotide long non-coding RNA is filed under the name Helianthus annuus (common sunflower). Its description in RNAcentral is "hypothetical non coding rna". The record is from RNAcentral. Lineage: Eukaryota; Viridiplantae; Streptophyta; Magnoliopsida; Asterales; Asteraceae.